UCGUGUAGAAGCUGACUGUGUCUCCAAGGGCUAUGAUGUGUCUGAUUAAAGAGUCGCAGUUUUGUUAUUUUAUGUCAUGUCGUAUUGUACAUAUUUGUCAAAGGUGAUCUCGUGUAGAAGCUGACUGUUUCUCCAAAGACUAUGAUGUGUCUGAUUAAAGAGUUGGUUUUGUUAAUUUAUGUCAUGUCGUAUUGUACAUAUUUGUCAAAGGUGAUCUCGUGUAGAAGCUGACUGUUUCUCCAAAGGCUAUGAUGUGUCUGAUUAAAGAGUCGCAGUUUUGUUAAUUUAUGUCAUGUCGUAUUGUACAUAUUUGUCAAAGGUGAUCUUGUGUAGAAGUUGACUGUUUCUCCAAAGGCUAUGAUGUGUCUGAUUAAAGAGUCGCAGUUUUGUUAAUUUAUGUCAUGUCGUAUUGUACAUAUUUGUCAAAGGUGAUCUCGUGUAGAAGUUGACUGUUUCUCCAAAGGCUAUGAUGUGUCUGAUUAAAGAGUUGGUUUCGUUAAUUUAUGUCAUGUCGUAUUGUACAUAUUUGUCAAAGGUGAUGUCGUGUAGAAGCUGACUGUGUCUCCAAAGGCUCUGAUGUGUCUGAUUAAAGAGUCGCAGUUUUGUUAUUUUAUGUCAUGUCGUAUUGUACAUAUUUGUCAAAGGUGAUCUCGUGUAGAAGCUGACUGUUUCUCCGAAGACUAUGAUGUGUCUGAUUAAAGAGUUGGUUUCGUUAAUUUAUGUCAUGUCGUAUUGUACAUAUUUGUCAAAGGUGAUCUCGUGUAGAAGUUGACUGUUUCUCCAAAGGCUAUGAUGUGUCUGAUUAAAGAGUUGGUUUCGUUAAUUUAUGUCAUGUCGUAUUGUACAUAUUUGUCAAAGGUGAUCUUGUGUAGAAGUUGACUGUUUCUCCAAAGGCUAUGAUGUGUCUGAUUAAAGAGUCGCAGUUUUGUUAAUUUAUGUCAUGUCGUAUUGUACAUAUUUGUCAAAGGUGAUCUUGUGUAGAAGUUGACUGUUUCUACCCAAGCUGUGAUGUGUCUGAUUAAAGAGUCGCAGUUUUGUUAUUUUAUGUCAUGUCGUAUUGUACAUAUUUGUCAAAGGUGAUCUCGUGUAGAAGCUGACUGUUUCUACCCAAGCUGUGAUGUGCCUGAUCCAGCGUUGCCAGACAGUCGUGCUUAGCCUCUCAUGCUUGCUGAUUUCCAACCCCACAAUUGUCUCCUCACCCCAAUAACUGGUUUCAGAUAUAGUCACCGUUAAAAUGGUCAAUUAUUGGUGCUUCUUGGCAACAGUUAUGGGUCAGAAGCCGGUAAAUAGCCUGCUCGGAGCGUGAUCAUCUGCCGAGAAAGUGGUGUCCAGGUUCACUCAUCCUCUGUCAUAUUGUGGUGGAAGUCGCUGUUUAGUUAGUCAACAAUAAACCAUAAGGCUACCGUAGGAGUUUGGGGCAUAUCCAGGAGUAGUUUUAGCCGCCAAAGUUCACACAUUUGACAAGGCUAUCGUAGGAGCUUGAGGCAUAUCCAGGGGUAGUUUUAGCCGCCAAAGUUCACAUAUUUGACAAGGCUACCGUAGGAGCUUGGGGCAUAUCCAGGAGUAGUUUUAGCCGCCAAAGUUCACAUAUUUGACAAGGCUACCGUAGGAGUUUGGGGCAUAUCCAGGGGUAGUUUUAGCCGCCAAAGUUCGCAUAUUUGACAAGGCUAUCGUAGGAGUUUGGGGCAUAUCCAGGAGUAGUUUUAGCCCCCAAAGUUCACAUAUUUGACAAGGCUAUCAUAGGAGUUUGGGGCAUAUCCAGGAGUAGUUUUGGCCGCUAAAGUUCACAUAUUUGACAAGGCUACCGUAGGAGUUUGGGGCAUAUCCAGGAGUAGUUUUAGCCGCCAAAGUUCACAUAUUUGACAAGGUUACCGUAGGAGUUUGGGGCAUAUCCAGGAGUAGUUUUAGCCGCCAAAGUUCACAUAUUUGACAAGGCUACCAUAGGAGCUUGGGGCAUAUCCAGGAGUAGUUUUAGCCCCCCAAGUUCACAUAUUUGACAAGGCUACCGUAGGAGCUUGGGGCAUAUCCAGGAGUAGUUUUAGCCCCCCAAGUUCACAUAUUUGACAAGGCUACCGUAGGAGUUUGGGGCAUAUCCAGGAGUAGUUUUAGCCGCCAAAGUUCAUAUAUUUGACAAGGCUACCGUAGGAGUUUGGGGCAUAUCCAGGAGUAGUUUUAGCCGCCAAAGUUCAUAUAUUUGACAAGGCUACCACAGGAGUUUGGGGCAUAUCCAGUAGUUUUAGCCACCCAAAUACCCUGGAACCCACAUUGCUACCUUAGUCCCUUAUAGUUAGAGUCAAACAUUGCCCUCUG
This is a long non-coding RNA of Eriocheir sinensis (Chinese mitten crab), 2310 nucleotides long. RefSeq lists it as uncharacterized. The transcript is spliced from 5 exons. The record is from RefSeq and is a predicted model, not a curated record. Lineage: Eukaryota; Metazoa; Arthropoda; Malacostraca; Decapoda; Varunidae.